This 2804-nucleotide unclassified non-coding RNA is filed under the name Hevea brasiliensis (rubber tree). Lineage: Eukaryota; Viridiplantae; Streptophyta; Magnoliopsida; Malpighiales; Euphorbiaceae. The record is from RNAcentral.
UGCUCAAGUUGCCAAGCCGUUGCUGAGCCUCCUUCAGAGCAUUUAAAAAUCUUUGUUUGCUCGAUUCUCUCACCAUUUCGGAUAUAGCAUUCUUGUCAAGUUUAUUGACCUGUUUAUCAGAGUUUUUAUUCCGAUAAUAAUUUUCUUCUGCACGCUGCAAGAACUCAAUCUUGUCAUUCACGCCUGAUUUUCUUGACAACUUAGAACUGGCUAGGCUCUUCACAACCUCAGUACCAUCAUCUGAAUCAGAUAUAUCUUCCUCAGAAGUGCCUGCUUCAUCAUCACGAUUCCAGAAUUCAGAGAAUUGUUCUCCAUGAGUCACAUCUGCAGAGCUGUUUAUAAAAAUUCGAGAAAUGCCAUUUCCCCGAUGAGAAGUGCAAAUUGUUGAGAUCUCCUCCAAAUACUUGGCAACUAAGUUUGGAUGCUUGCAAGCAUCGCAAGAUUUUUUACAUAGUGAUGCAGGCACCUGUUCUCCGAAACUUUCAAGAAUCUUUUUCCUGCGGCACCCAGAACCCUCACAAUACUCAACCAUCUGAAUGUUGUAUGCAUUUCACAUGAAGCAUCAGUUGCAAAGGAGAUUCAUAUACUGAAAAAGAAUUGAAAGUCACCUGAUUGAAGUCAGACAGGGAUUUUUUUGACAACCCAUCCUGUGAACUUGAGGAUUCUGACUUUUUGCUCUCAGCACUUCUUAGAAUAAAUUCCAUUUUCUUGCGAUCAUCAACUCCAUAGUACAACAGACUUCUACAGGGCAAUUGAUCACGACCAGCUCUACCUGACUCCUGAUAGAAAGCUUCCAUUGACUUUGGAACAUUAAAGUGACAAACUAUUCUGACAUCCUUUCUAUCUAUACCCUAGAAAAUAGUUUUCAGUCCGUUAGUGGCAUAUGUAUCAAGACUCCAGUCCAGAGUUCAUUGAAAUCAUUAGCAUUUAGCUACAUACCAUCCUGAAAGAAUGAUUUUCUCACUUACUGAUCAGUCACCAGAACAGCUCCAAGCAGAAGAAUAAUAUGAAAACAAACAAAAUCAUCACAAUCUAGUGUAAUAGGAUAAAACAAAAGAAACUGAGUAAAACAGUUGAUAGAAAACUUAUUUUCCUUCAAAUGAUUACAAAAUUCGCCACUCACAUCAAAUUCACCAUUUUCUAAAACAAAUCCAGAUAUCUAAAUUGAUGCAUCAAUUAGUACAUUUCUGAAAAGAAAAAAUUUUGAGAGAAUAUAUAUCACUCAAAACCCAGGACACCACACAUGAAAGCCAUAAAAUUAUGGAGUUGAUCAUACCCAAAAGCCACUGUGGCAACAACAACUUGUAUUUUAGCAGACAUCCAAUCAUCUAAAACAGAGCUUCGCAAUUUAUUAUUCAACCCUGCAUGGUAAGCAGCACAUGAAAUGCCAUUUUUGGAAAGAUGGGCAGACAAGCCAUCACAAGUUGUUCGCUCAAGGCAGUAAAUAAUUGCACAGACAUCCCCACUAGAUUUGAGUACAGAGGACAAAUCAACAUAGGCAUCAUCCAGAAGAUCCUUAUAUCUAACUUCAUAAUAGAUAUUUGAACGAUUAAAGGAAGAUUUCAGAACCAAGGGGUCUUGCAAGCAUAAGGACUGUAUUACAUCCUUCUGAACUUUAGGAACAGCUGUAGCGGUCAAAGCCAGUAUUGGUACAUCAGGAAGGCAAUUCCUCAAAGAUGAAAGUUUACGAUAGCUAGGCCUGAAAUCAUGGCCCCAUGUUGAGAUGCAAUGUGCCUGAAACAAAAUUAAGAGAGAAAGAGGCAAAAAGGAAAAAAAUAAUAUAGAAAAGAAGCUGUAUGUCCUUUUGAAGAGUGAAGACAACUAAGGAGUUCAGCCUUUAUUAAAACAUAGAAAAUAUAAUUUCACACCUCAUCUAUGGCAAUGAGAUUCAAGAACCCUCUAGUAUGAAUCCUCGUUAACUUAGACAUAAAUCCUGGUGUUGCAAUCAAUUCUGGAGUGACAUACAGCAACCUUGGGGAUGGUUUUCCAGAAUCUAGGUCUUCAUGAAUCUUAAAAAUAAUAAGUUAAUUAAUUAAUUAAUAUGCGCGUUGUUUAGAAAUAUAAUUACACAAUUUCAAGUUUACAAGUCCUAGACAGGGUAAAGUUCAUGAUAAUCAUUGCAAAGAAAGAAAAUAAAGAAUGGGACUAGUGAAAAAAUUGCAUCAACUGCAGACAAUACUUAUUACCCAUUAACAUUCACAAAAUAAGACUUAUUACCUAUGAAUGACACAUUCUAUUUAGAAUGCUGAAGUUUUUAAGAUACUCGAAAACAGUCGCUAAGCAAAUUAACCAUGAGAUCAUAUCAGGAACUCUAAUAACUCACUUUACUUUUGACAUUUGAUGUUUGGGUUGAGGAGAGAAAUUCAGCAGCAAUUCCUUUCUCUUUCAAUGCCAUCACCUGGUUUUCCAUCAAGGCUAUUAAGGGAGAAACAACAAGCACAAUCCCCGGUUUUGCAAGUGCAGGAAUCUGAUAACACAUUGACUUGCCUCCUCCAGUCGGCAUCAAGCAAAAGCAAUCUCUCCCUGAUAAGACAGCUUGAAUAGCUUCCAAUUGCUUGCCUCUAAAAUCAGAAAAACCAAAAUGCCAUCUCAAAAGCUUCACCAAUGCUUCCUUUCCGGUGGUCUUCUUCUCAUUGCCACAUAUUUUUUGCACUGUCAACGGCGACUUCUUCAUCUCUAACUCACUGCCCUGCCUUGCCCUUGGAAAGCAAAGCUCCUUCUCUUGCUCCUCCAGGCUCCACUUGUUAUUCCCGUGAAUUUUUCCGGCCCGGAUCGCAGUCGAGAUUAUGCAGCCUCACAAGUUC